UUUGGAAUUCGAAUGCAAUUGCAUUAAAUUUUGCGUCUUUGAUUUGGGUAUUUGUAGAAUUUUGAGAAGACCCAUUGGAUUAUAGAAGCUUGAAGUAAUGGAGGAUGUUCGGGAGCAGGCUGAGCAGGAAAGUCAACUACUCGGUCAAGAUGGUGAAAAUGAAACAGUAACUGAAGAUGGUACCUUCGUUCGUGGGGAACCUUCACAAGAUUAAUGGCCCCCCAAAAGUUGAUUCUAAGGUGGAAAUCCUUCACGAGAAAGUCACAAAUCAAAUCAUUAAGGAAGGUCAUGGUCAAAUACCAUCCAAGUAUUCAACAUGCUUCUAGAACAAAGAAAUGACUAGCUUGGCUGUUGGGGUGUCCAGCAUGAAAUCUGGAGAGCAUGCCCUAUUACAUGUAGGCUGGGAGUUGGGGUAUGGGAAAGAAAGGAGCUUUUCUUUUCCGAAUGUUCCACCAUUGGCAGAUAUAUCAUAUGAAGUUGAGUUUAUUGGAUUUGAUGAAACCAAAGAAAUAAGUUGCUCACUUGCUUUCAAAUGUCUUCCCAAGUAGUUACCAAUUGAAGUUUCAGAAUCUCUUUUCCAGGGAUUUGCUUCGGUAAUAUAGUAACAUGCAUAUUUGUGGGUUUUUCCUUUCAUAGGGGAAAGCUCGUAGUGACAUGACUGUGGAGGAAAGGAUUGGAGCAGCAGAUAGAAGAAAGAUGGAUGGAAAUGCUUUAUUUAAAGAGGAAAAACUAGAGGAGGCCAUGCAAUGGCUAUAGCGUAUAUGGGUGACAACUUCAUGUUCCAAUUGUUUGGGAACUACAGGGACAUGGCUUUGGCUGUUAAAAAUCCAUGCCACCUUAACAUGGCAGCGUCUUUUAUAAAGCGCAAGCGUUAUGAAGAAGCCAUUGGACAAUGCAGUAUUGUAAGUGUAAUGCUAUCACAAGAAAGUCAUCUAAUUUUGUGUGUUCAGCGAUUGUGCUAUUCAUCAUUAGACACUAGAAAGUUGGGUUUGUUGGUUUAUUUGUGAGCAUAACUGCAUCCCAAAAGUUUCAAUAUUCAUUCACUUUAACCUGCCAUUUUGGAUUGCCGUAGAAAAUGAAAA
This is a long non-coding RNA of Pyrus x bretschneideri (Chinese white pear), 1082 nucleotides long. RefSeq lists it as uncharacterized. The transcript is spliced from 4 exons. NCBI's taxonomy places the organism in Eukaryota, Viridiplantae, Streptophyta, Magnoliopsida, Rosales, Rosaceae. The record is from RefSeq and is a predicted model, not a curated record.